UUUGUUUGUCUGGCGACCAAAAACAGUCGGUGGAUAUCUUAUCACUGGGCCUCAGUCGGGUUAGGGGAGAGCGCGAGAGAGACACAACAGGCGUCUCGCGUUAAGAGGCUUGAGAAACGACUACGAAGGAGAACAGUUUUCCUUCGUGGAUAAGCAAGAAACACGAGACUGGCGAUGGCUGGCAAGCGUCUUCUCCUCGUAACCAUGGUUACGAUGUGUCUAUUACAACACUGCGUCACCAAGGAAACCGGAAAGGAAAGCAAGAGCAAGGGUAAACCGGAAACAAAGCCCGGCAGAGGCGGAAGUGACGUAGGCGGUGGUGGCCUGCUGGGCACGCUGGGAUUUUUCGGCGCCUGGUACCUGGGCUGGGGAGGGGUAGCGCUGGCCAUCUACGUGGGGUCAAGGGUCGCGCAACGGUUCGAGCUUUGGGACUUCAAGUAGCAGCGUCAAGGUCGCAUAACACAGUAUUUAUGGGCAACCCCAUUGGUCAAAAUUAUGUCAGGCACGAAAUAGUGCGUCGCAGUUCAAGCUUGAAAGAGCCAUAGAAAUAUUUCUGUGCACGUCAGCGAGUUGAAAACAUCGGUGGAUAGUACAGCGGUUCGAGCUUUGGAACUUCAAGUAGCAGCUUCAAGUUCUCUUCCGGAAAUUGUGUGGUGCUUCUUUAUACUGAGACUAUGUAUUUAGAUUUAUUGAAAUUGCAAACAAUGCAAAACAUGGCAACCCUGGUAUUGCUAAUGAGCUUAGCUGAUAUUGGGUGCCCGGACAUACGUACAUUUACACCUCUCAUUGAAUCAACAUAAUAAACUCAACUGGUUAACGUACUUCAAAUGAAACAACAAGAUGUGUGAAAGUAAAAGAAAGGAAAUGGUAACUUUAAUGGAGACAGGACAUUAUAAUAUUACGAUUUUAGUUGUAACUUGGAAUAAGCUUCUUCUCCACGUGUCAGCCACCGCAAUUAAACAUUCAAAGUUUGAAACUUUGUUGGGCAAAAGUUAGUAGUACAUGUCUGCAUCUAGGGUCUGUUUUACGCUGUGUUUUAGACUUAUUUGAUCCUCAUAGAACCCCCUUUUUUUGAAAUUGUAAGAAAUAGCGAAUAGACAUGGUUGAAAAUUUGA
Long non-coding RNA from Branchiostoma floridae (Florida lancelet), 1115 nucleotides. RefSeq lists it as uncharacterized. The record is from RefSeq and is a predicted model, not a curated record. The transcript is spliced from 2 exons. Lineage: Eukaryota; Metazoa; Chordata; Leptocardii; Amphioxiformes; Branchiostomatidae.